Molecule: ribosomal RNA, 1439 nt
Filed under: uncultured organism
Description: SSU rRNA
Rfam family: Bacterial small subunit ribosomal RNA
Source: RNAcentral
GCUAUCUACAGGCUUAACACAUGCAAGUCGAGGGGCAGCAUGGUCUUAGCUUGCUAAGGCCGAUGGCGACCGGCGCACGGGUGAGUAACACGUAUCCAACCUGCCGUCUACUCUUGGACAGCCUUCUGAAAGGAAGAUUAAUACAAGAUGGCAUCAUGAGUCCGCAUGUUCACAUGAUUAAAGGUAUUCCGGUAGACGAUGGGGAUGCGUUCCAUUAGAUAGUAGGCGGGGUAACGGCCCACCUAGUCUUCGAUGGAUAGGGGUUCUGAGAGGAAGGUCCCCCACAUUGGAACUGAGACACGGUCCAAACUCCUACGGGAGGCAGCAGUGAGGAAUAUUGGUCAAUGGGCGAGAGCCUGAACCAGCCAAGUAGCGUGAAGGAUGACUGCCCUAUGGGUUGUAAACUUCUUUUAUAAAGGAAUAAAGUCGGGUAUGGAUACCCGUUUGCAUGUACUUUAUGAAUAAGGAUCGGCUAACUCCGUGCCAGCAGCCGCGGUAAUACGGAGGAUCCGAGCGUUAUCCGGAUUUAUUGGGUUUAAAGGGAGCGUAGAUGGAUGUUUAAGUCAGUUGUGAAAGUUUGCGGCUCAACCGUAAAAUUGCAGUUGAUACUGGAUAUCUUGAGUGCAGUUGAGGCAGGCGGAAUUCGUGGUGUAGCGGUGAAAUGCUUAGAUAUCACGAAGAACUCCGAUUGCGAAGGCAGCCUGCUAAGCUGCAACUGACAUUGAGGCUCGAAAGUGUGGGUAUCAAACAGGAUUAGAUACCCUGGUAGUCCACACGGUAAACGAUGAAUACUCGCUGUUUGCGAUAUACUGCAAGCGGCCAAGCGAAAGCGUUAAGUAUUCCACCUGGGGAGUACGCCGGCAACGGUGAAACUCAAAGGAAUUGACGGGGGCCCGCACAAGCGGAGGAACAUGUGGUUUAAUUCGAUGAUACGCGAGGAACCUUACCCGGGCUUAAAUUGCAGAUGAAUUACGGUGAAAGCCGUAAGCCGCAAGGCAUCUGUGAAGGUGCUGCAUGGUUGUCGUCAGCUCGUGCCGUGAGGUGUCGGCUUAAGUGCCAUAACGAGCGCAACCCUUGUUGUCAGUUACUAACAGGUUCCGCUGAGGACUCUGACAAGACUGCCAUCGUAAGAUGUGAGGAAGGUGGGGAUGACGUCAAAUCCGCACGGCCCUUACGUCCGGGGCUACACACGUGUUACAAUGGGGGGUACAGAGGGCCGCUACCACGCGAGUGGAUGCCAAUCCCCAAAACCUCUCUCAGUUCGGACUGGAGUCUGCAACCCGACUCCACGAAGCUGGAUUCGCUAGUAAUCGCGCAUCAGCCACGGCGCGGUGAAUACGUUCCCGGGCCUUGUACACACCGCCCGUCAAGCCAUGGGAGCCGGGGGUACCUGAAGUGCGUAACCGCGAGGAGCGCCCUAGGGUAAAACUGGUGACUGG